Non-coding RNA from Cyprinus carpio (common carp), 834 nucleotides. Lineage: Eukaryota; Metazoa; Chordata; Actinopteri; Cypriniformes; Cyprinidae. The record is from the annotation of a RefSeq genome assembly.
UCUGUUCUCUCUCAAUCCUAGUAAAGAUGACUGCAAACGCUCUGAUGAUCUGCUCUCUACUGCUUUCUCUUGCUGGUUGUUCAGCUGAGAUCAUUCUGACUCAGAGUCCGUCGGUGGAUUCGGUGUCUGUGGGAAGCAGCGUCACUCUCAACUGCAGAUCCAGCAGUUCUAGUUUUACACAGAGUUUAGCCUGGUAUCACCAGAGACCCGGACAAACACCCAAACUCCUGUUCUCUAGUGUUGGCAGCAAAGUGUCUGGAGUUUCUGAGAGAUUCACUGAUGGGAGAUCAGGAACAAACUUCAUGCUCAAUAUCAGAAAUGUCCAGUCUGAAGACGCAGGAGAUUAUUACUGUCAACAGCAUAGUGAAAUGCCAAGAACACAGUGAUACAGAGCCGUACAAAAACCCCUUCAGUGAAAGAGGAACUACUGAUUUAGACACACACUGCACACACAUUACACUGUGACUGGACCCUGUUUUAAAAACUCUGAACAGUUCAUAUCUCACAGCAAGAUACUUGUUUGCUUUUCACUAAAAGUAAAGAUUUAGAUUUGGCUAGGGGAUACUGAUCAUAGACCAAAACUAACAAGUACAGCUUUAUCUUGGCUUUUUAAAAUAAAAGCCCACAGUGGAUUGAGCAAAACUUAUUCCACGAUCUUUAUUUGCAAUCUGAUGUCAUACCAAAUAAAUGGUCAGUUAUCUUGGUGCAUGAAUAUUUUAAAUGAUAGGUAUAACAUGUAUAACAUUAUUGUUUCACUUUGCCUUCACAUGAACAAUUUUAUUGUUCAGUCCAUGUACAGCUAUAUGGCACUGUACAAAUAUAAUUUCCCAUCAU